GACUGUGAACCAAUGUUGCUCCCAUAGAAAAACGUAAACAAAUGCUUCUGUUGAAUCUGAGGUUAGGGGUGACAUCGUUUCACAGCCUGGGUGCAGCUCAAACAACUCAACGUUACAAGUGCAACAAGUAAACCAAUCACUAAAUCCUAAUGUCAAUGACAAUAGUGAGUUUUUAUGCCAUAAUUCGGAUACUGAUUCCAUAGCAGACGACCAUGAAUUUGAAGAGUCAGGCUACAGCUAAUGUCCUCUACAAUCUGAAUUGGCAUUAUUUGGACACAAAAAAUAGAAAAAUUUUCCUUAUGAUGCUGACGCAAUGUCAGCAAAUUGCAGUGAUCUCCAUUGGACCGUUUGGGCCAAUGUCAAUCAAUUCAGUUAUAUCUGUUAUCAAAGCUGCAUACUCUUACAUGAUGGUGAUGCAGUCAUACAAAUAGUUGAAUACAUUUAAGCUUAAGCAUCUAGUAAAAGUUGUUUUCGAAUAAGUAUGACCACAUGCUUAACGGUAAUAUGCCAGAACAUAAAGCGCCCUAAUUUUUUUGUUGUAAUGCAAUAAAUGAUUGGAAGAUAUCAUCAAGACACCAACAAGCAUUAUUUUCUUUUCUUAAGUUAUCUCUUUGAUUCUCUAUUAGUUUCAUAUUUGGUCAUAUUGUUUCAUUACUCACAAUGUCUGAUUUGGAAAUUCGAAAAUUAAGAUCUUAUAAAUUUCCAAAUUUGUCAAGAUUCCUUGUUGCACUUUUUUUUAUGGUCAUUUUUCGUUGCAUUUGAAGAACGUCAAAUGAACGAGUAGAGCGAUUUUAAGAUUAUAUAAAAAUAUAUUAAUGUAUUGAAAAUACUUAUAAAUAGUUAGUAAAAUAAAUUUUAAAUGUACACAAUACACUAACUAGAUUAAUUCAACAACAAAAACAGAAAUAGCAGAUUCUCUAGAAGAAAGUGAUACACAAUUAAUAGUGCAGGAACCACAAAUAUAAUAAAUUCAAAAGAUAAGUUAGUAA
Long non-coding RNA from Dendroctonus ponderosae (mountain pine beetle), 989 nucleotides. RefSeq lists it as uncharacterized. The record is from RefSeq and is a predicted model, not a curated record. NCBI's taxonomy places the organism in Eukaryota, Metazoa, Arthropoda, Insecta, Coleoptera, Curculionidae. The transcript is spliced from 3 exons.